Molecule: ribosomal RNA, 443 nt
Filed under: uncultured bacterium
Lineage: Bacteria
Description: partial 16S ribosomal RNA
Rfam family: Bacterial small subunit ribosomal RNA
Source: RNAcentral
ACUACGGGAGGCAGCAGUGGGGAAUAUUGGGCAAUGGAGGCAACUCUGACCCAGCAACGACGCGUGAAUGAUGAAGGUCUUCGGAUUGUAAAGUUCUGUGAUGGGGGAUGAACACAAUGACGGUACCCCAAUAGCAAGCCACGGCUAACUACGGGCCAGAAGCCGCGGUAAUACGUAGGUAGCAAGCGUUAUCCGGAAUGACUGGGCGUAAAGGGGGCGUAGGUGGUUUAGUAAGUUGGCGGUGUAAUUCCGGGGCUCAACCUGGGCGCUACCGCCAAAACUAUUAGACUAGAGUGCAGGAGGGGUAAGUGGAAUUCCUAGUGUAGCGGUGGAAUGCGUAGAUAUUAGGAGGAACAUCAGGGGCGAAGGCGACUGACUGGACUGUAACUGACACGGAGGCACGAAAGCGUGGGGAGCAAACAGGAUUAGAUACCCCUGUAGUC